AGCAGCCGCGGUAAUUCCAGCUCCAAUCGCGUAUAUUAAAGUUGUUGCAGUUAAAAAGCUCGUAGUUGAAUUUCGGGACCAAUUUGUUGGUCGUGCCUCGGUACGUACUGGUAUUAUUGGUUUCUCCCUUCUGAAGAACCUCGAUGCCAUUAAUUUGGUGUCGUGGGGAAUCAGGACUGUUACUUUGAAAAAAUUAGAGUGUUUAAAGCAAGCAUACGCUUGAAUACAUUAGCAUGGAAUAAUGAAAUAGGACGUUUGAUUCUAUUUUGUUGGUUUCUAGGAUCGACGUAAUGAUUAAUAGGGAUAGUUGGGGGCAUUAGUAUUCAAUUGUCAGAGGUGAAAUUCUUGGAUUUAUUGAAGACUAACUACUGCGAAAGCAUUUGCCAAGGAUGUUUUCAUUAAUCAAGAACGAAAGUUAGGGGAUCGAAGACGAUCAGAUACCGUCGUAGUCUUAACCAUAAACUAUGCCGACUAGGGAUCGGAUGAUGUUAAUUUUUUAAUGACUCAUUCGGCGCCUUAC
This 520-nucleotide unclassified non-coding RNA is filed under the name uncultured Glomus. RNAcentral's name for it is "SSU rRNA". It matches the Rfam family "Eukaryotic small subunit ribosomal RNA", at positions 569 to 1091 of the family's 1831-position model. The record is from RNAcentral. Lineage: Eukaryota; Fungi; Glomeromycota; Glomeromycetes; Glomerales; Glomeraceae.